UGGCGGCCAUAGCGCGGUGGACCCACCUGAACCCAUGCCGAACUCAGAAGUGAAACGCCGUAGCGCCGAUGGUAGUGUGGGGUCUCCCCAUGCGAGAGUAGGACAUUGCCAGGCA
Molecule: ribosomal RNA, 115 nt
Filed under: Yersinia frederiksenii
Lineage: Bacteria; Pseudomonadati; Pseudomonadota; Gammaproteobacteria; Enterobacterales; Yersiniaceae
Source: RNAcentral